RNAcentral lists this transfer RNA (72 nucleotides) under Verrucomicrobiota bacterium. RNAcentral's name for it is "Verrucomicrobia bacterium tRNA-Asn". It matches the Rfam family "tRNA". Rfam says of the family: Transfer RNA (tRNA) molecules are approximately 80 nucleotides in length. Their secondary structure includes four short double-helical elements and three loops (D, anti-codon, and T loops). Lineage: Bacteria; Pseudomonadati; Verrucomicrobiota. The record is from RNAcentral. RNAcentral also lists the same sequence under 1 other name.
UCCGGAUUAGCUCAGCGGUAGAGCAGUGGACUGUUAAUCCAUUGGUCGCUUGUUCGAAUCAAGCAUCCGGAG